RNAcentral lists this ribosomal RNA (427 nucleotides) under uncultured bacterium. RNAcentral's name for it is "bacterial SSU rRNA". It matches the Rfam family "Bacterial small subunit ribosomal RNA", at positions 355 to 774 of the family's 1533-position model. The record is from RNAcentral.
UGGGGAAUUUUGGACAAUGGGGGCAACCCUGAUCCAGCCAUUCCGCGUGAGUGAAGAAGGCCUUCGGGUUGUAAAGCUCUUUCGGCAGGAACGAAACGGCGAGCUCUAACAUAGCUUGCUAAUGACGGUACCUGAAGAAGAAGCACCGGCUAACUACGUGCCAGCAGCCGCGGUAAUACGUAGGGUGCGAGCGUUAAUCGGAAUUACUGGGCGUAAAGCGUGCGCAGGCGGUUAUAUAAGACAGAUGUGAAAUCCCCGGGCUCAACCUGGGAACUGCAUUUGUGACUGUAUAGUUAGAGUACGGCAGAGGGGGAUGGAAUUCCGCGUGUAGCAGUGAAAUGCGUAGAUAUGCGGAGGAACACCGAUGGCGAAGGCAAUCCCCUGGACCUGUACUGACGCUCAUGCACGAAAGCGUGGGGAGCAAACA